This is a non-coding RNA of Triticum aestivum (bread wheat), 125 nucleotides long. The record is from Rfam. Lineage: Eukaryota; Viridiplantae; Streptophyta; Magnoliopsida; Poales; Poaceae.
AACAUACUCCCUCCGUCCGAAAAUACUUGUCGGAGAAAUGCAUAAAAAUGGAUAUAUCGAGAACUAAAAUACGUCUAGAUACAUCCAUUCUUCCGACAAGUAUUUCCGGACGGAGGGAGUAUUUA